GAACCCGGAGAUAGCUGGUUCUCCUCGAAAUAGCUUUAGGGCUAGCCUCAUGGAUCAUUGAUGGGGGUAGAGCACUGAAUGUGCGCGGGGGCCACAAAGCCUACCAAACGCUAUCAAACUACGAAUACCAUACAAUGCAGACCAUGGGAGUCAGUCCGCGAGAGAUAAGUUCCGCGGGCAAAAGGGGAACACCCCAGAUCAACCGCUAAGGUCCCCAAGUUCACGUUAAGUGGAGAAGGAUGUGGAAUUGCACAGACAACCAGGAUGUUGGCUCAGAAGCAGCCACACAUUUAAAGAGUGCGUAAUAGCUCACUGGUCGAGUGAUUGUGCGCCGAAGAUGUCCGGGGCUAAACGUGACACCGAAGCGAUGGGUGCAUCUGAAAGGAUGCGCGGUAGAGGAGCAAUGUGCAGAGGCAGAAGCCGUAUCGAGAGGCACGGUGGACACUGCACAAGAGAGAAUGCCGGUAUGAGUAGCGAGAGGCAUGCGAGAAACAUGCCCGUCGAAAGCCCAAGGUUUCCUGGGGAAGGUUCAUCCGCCCAGGGUAAGUCGGGGCCUAAGCCGAGGACGGAAGUCGUAGGCGAUGGACAGCAGGUGUAGAUUCCUGCACUACCGAUGGAAUGAAGCAGUGACACAGAAGGAUAACUCGAGCAGGGUGAUGGUCAACCCUGUGCAAGCAUCAAGGUUGGGUUGUAGUGAAGUACGCAACCCUACAAGCUGAGGUGUGAUGCGGACCGAAAUUUUAGUAGGGAAGCGAGUGAGUUCACGCUGGCGAGAAAAGCUGCUAGUACAUCCAAAGGUACCCGUACCGGAAACCGACGCAGGUGGGCGAGGAGAGAAUCCUGAGACGAACGGGAGAACCCUUGUUAAGGAACUCGGCAAAAUGACCCCGUAACUUCGGGAUAAGGGGUGCCUGCGAGAGCAGGCCGCAGAGAAUAGUCACAAGCGACUGUUUAGCAAAAACACAGGUAUCUGCGAAAGCGAGAGCUGACGUAUAGGUGCUGACACCUGCCCGGUGCUGGAAGGUUAAGGGAACAUGUUAGAGCAAUCGAAGCAUCGAACCGAAGCCCCAGUAAACGGCGGCCGUAACUAUAACGGUCCUAAGGUAGCGAAAUUCCUUGUCGGGUAAGUUCCGACCCGCACGAAUGGUGUAACGACUUGUGAGCUGUCUCAACAGGGGGCCCGGUGAAAUUGAAGUAUGGGUGAAGAUGCCCAUUACCCGCGACUGGACGGAGAGACCCCGUAGAGCUUUACUGCAGCCUGAUAUUGAGUUUCGGUAACUGAUGCACAGGAUAGGUGGGAGUCUGAGAGACAUGGGUUUCGGCUCAUGUGGAGACGGUGUUGGGAUACCACUCUUCGGUUACUGAAAUUCUAACAUAGCUCUGUGAAACCAGAGGAUGGACAGUGUCAGGUGGACAGUUUGACUGGGGCGGUCGCCUCCGAAAGAGUAACGGAGGCGCCCAAAGGUACCCUCAGAAUGGAUGGAAACCAUUCGAAGAGAGCAAAGUCAGAAGGGUGCUUGACUGCGAGACCAACAAGUCGAGCAGGUACGAAAGUAGGGCUUAGUGAUCCGGCGGUAAGAGAGUGGAAUUGCCGUCGCUCAACGGAUAAAAGCUACCUCGGGGAUAACAGGCUGAUCUCCCCCAAGAGUCCACAUCGACGGGGAGGUUUGGCACCUCGAUGUCGGCUCAUCGCAUCCUGGGGCUGAAUUCGGUCCCAAGGGUUUGGCUGUUCGCCAAUUAAAGCGGCACGCGAGCUGGGUUCAGAACGUCGUGAGACAGUUCGGUCCCUAUCCAUCGUGGGCGUAGGAGUCAUGAGAGGAGCUGUUCCUAGUACGAGAGGACCGGAAUGGACGCACCACUGGUGCAACUGUUGUCGUGCCAACGGCAUAGCAGGGAAGCGAAGUGCGGAUGGGAUAAACGCUGAAGGCAUCUAAGCGUGAAGCCCACCUCAAGAAUAAGACUCCACAAUAGACCCCUGGAGGACUACCAGGUAGAUAGGUCAUCGGUGGAAGCGCUGUAAGGCGUGU
Molecule: ribosomal RNA, 2027 nt
Filed under: human gut metagenome
Description: bacterial LSU rRNA
Rfam family: Bacterial large subunit ribosomal RNA
Source: RNAcentral